AACGCGAAGAACCUUACCUACUCUUGACAUCCAGAGAAUUUAGCAGAGAUGCUUUAGUGCCUUCGGGAACUCUGAGACAGGUGCUGCAUGGCUGUCGUCAGCUCGUGUUGUGAAAUGUUGGGUUAAGUCCCGCAACGAGCGCAACCCUUAUCCUUUGUUGCCAGCNCGUAAUGGUGGGAACUCAAAGGAGACUGCCGGUGAUAAACCGGAGGAAGGUGGGGAUGACGUCAAGUCAUCAUGGCCCUUACGAGUAGGGCUACACACGUGCUACAAUGGCAUAUACAAAGAGAAGCGAACUCGCGAGAGCAAGCGGACCUCAUAAAGUAUGUCGUAGUCCGGAUUGGAGUCUGCAACUCGACUCCAUGAAGUCGGAAUCGCUAGUAAUCGUAGAUCAGAAUGCUAC
Molecule: ribosomal RNA, 403 nt
Filed under: Hafnia sp. DGGE band 39
Lineage: Bacteria; Pseudomonadati; Pseudomonadota; Gammaproteobacteria; Enterobacterales; Hafniaceae
Description: bacterial SSU rRNA
Rfam family: Bacterial small subunit ribosomal RNA
Source: RNAcentral